This 253-nucleotide ribosomal RNA is filed under the name uncultured bacterium. Its description in RNAcentral is "partial 16S ribosomal RNA". It matches the Rfam family "Bacterial small subunit ribosomal RNA", at positions 524 to 776 of the family's 1533-position model. The record is from RNAcentral.
UACAGAGGUCUCAAGCGUUGUUCGGAUUCACUGGGUUUAAAGGGUGCGUAGGUGGGAAGGUAAGUCAGUGGUGAAAUCUCCGGGCUUAACUCGGAAACUGCCAUUGAUACUAUCUGUCUUGAAUACCGUGGAGGUCAGCGGAAUAUGUCAUGUAGCGGUGAAAUGCUUAGAUAUGACAUAGAACACCAAUUGCGAAGGCAGCUGGCUACACGAAUAUUGACACUGAUGCACGAAAGCGUGGGGAUCAAACAGG